RNAcentral lists this ribosomal RNA (1330 nucleotides) under uncultured bacterium. RNAcentral describes it as "bacterial SSU rRNA". It matches the Rfam family "Bacterial small subunit ribosomal RNA", at positions 28 to 1381 of the family's 1533-position model. The record is from RNAcentral.
GACGAACGCUGGCGGCGUGCUUAACACAUGCAAGUCGAACGGACCCUUUGGGGUUAGUGGCGAACGGGUGAGUAACACGUGGGUGAUCUGCCCUGCACUUUGGGAUAAGCCUGGGAAACUGGGUCUAAUACCGGAUAGGACUACGCACUGCAUGGUGUGUGGUGGAAAGCUUUUGCGGUGUGGGAUGGGCCCGCGGCCUAUCAGCUUGUUGGUGGGGUGAUGGCCUACCAAGGCGACGACGGGUAGCCGGCCUGAGAGGGUGACCGGCCACACUGGGACUGAGAUACGGCCCAGACUCCUACGGGAGGCAGCAGUGGGGAAUAUUGCACAAUGGGCGCAAGCCUGAUGCAGCGACGCCGCGUGAGGGAUGACGGCCUUCGGGUUGUAAACCUCUUUCGCCAGGGACGAAGCGCAAGUGACGGUACCUGGAGAAGAAGGACCGCCCAACUACGUGCCAGCAGCCGCGGUAAUACGUAGGGUCCGAGCGUUGUCCGGAAUUACUGGGCGUAAAGAGCUCGUAGGUGGUUUGUCGCGUUGUUCGUGAAAACUCACAGCUUAACUGUGGGCGUGCGGGCGAUACGGGCAGACUGGAGUACUGCAGGGGAGACUGGAAUUCCUGGUGUAGCGGUGGAAUGCGCAGAUAUCAGGAGGAACACCGGUGGCGAAGGCGGGUCUCUGGGCAGUAACUGACGCUGAGGAGCGAAAGCGUGGGGAGCGAACAGGAUUAGAUACCCUGGUAGUCCACGCCGUAAACGGUGGGUACUAGGUGUGGGUCUCCUUCCUUGGGAUCCGUGCCGUAGCUAACGCAUUAAGUACCCCGCCUGGGGAGUACGGCCGCAAGGCUAAAACUCAAAGGAAUUGACGGGGGCCCGCACAAGCGGCGGAGCAUGUGGAUUAAUUCGAUGCAACGCGAAGAACCUUACCUGAGUUUGACAUGCACAGGACGCCGGCAGAGAUGUCGGUUCCCUUGUGGCCUGUGUGCAGGUGGUGCAUGGCUGUCGUCAGCUCGUGUCGUGAGAUGUUGGGUUAAGUCCCGCAACGAGCGCAACCCUUGUCUCAUGUUGCCAGCACGUUAUGGUGGGGACUCGUGAGAGACUGCCGGGGUCAACUCGGAGGAAGGUGGGGAUGACGUCAAGUCAUCAUGCCCCUUAUGUCCAGGGCUUCACACAUGCUACAAUGGCCGGUACAAAGGGCUGCGAUGCCGUGAGGUGGAGCGAAUCCUUUCAAAGCCGGUCUCAGUUCGGAUCGGGGUCUGCAACUCGACCCCGUGAAGUCGGAGUCGCUAGUAAUCGCAGAUCAGCAACGCUGCGGUGAAUACGUUCCCGGGCCU